GUAGGUGGCAAGCGUUGUCCGGAAUUAUUGGGCGUAAAGCGCGCGCAGGCGGUUCUUUAAGUCUGAUGUGAAAGCCCAGGGCUCAACCGUGGAGGGUCAUUGGAAACUGGAGAACUUGAGUACAGAAGAGGAAAGCGGAAUUCCACGUGUAGCGGUGAAAUGCGUAGAGAUGUGGAGGAACACCAGUGGCGAAGGCGGCUUUCUGGUCUGUAACUGACGCUGAGGCGCGAAAGCGUGGGGAGCAAACAGGAUUAGAUACCCUGGUAGUCCACGCCGUAAACGAUGAGUGCUAAGUGUUAGGGGGUUUCCGCCCCUUAGUGCUGCAGCUAACGCAUUAAGCACUCCGCCUGGGGAGUACGGCCGCAAGGCUG
RNAcentral lists this ribosomal RNA (371 nucleotides) under uncultured organism. Its description in RNAcentral is "partial 16S ribosomal RNA". It matches the Rfam family "Bacterial small subunit ribosomal RNA", at positions 527 to 896 of the family's 1533-position model. The record is from RNAcentral.